GGCUAACUCUGUGCCAGCAGCCGCGGUAAUACAGAGGGUGCAAGCGUUAAUCGGAAUUACUGGGCGUAAAGCGCGCGUAGGUGGUUUGGUAAGUUAGGAUGUGAAAUGCCCCUGGGCUCAACCUGGGAACUGCAUCCAAAACUGGCCAGCUAGAGUAUGGUAGAGGGUGGUGGAAUUUCCUGUGUAGCGGUGAAAUGCGUAGAUAUUACU
RNAcentral lists this ribosomal RNA (210 nucleotides) under Pseudomonas sp. C2PCCMRS. RNAcentral describes it as "partial 16S ribosomal RNA". It matches the Rfam family "Bacterial small subunit ribosomal RNA", at positions 495 to 701 of the family's 1533-position model. The record is from RNAcentral. Lineage: Bacteria; Pseudomonadati; Pseudomonadota; Gammaproteobacteria; Pseudomonadales; Pseudomonadaceae.